GUGAGGAAUAUUGGUCAAUGGGCGGGAGCCUGAACCAGCCAAGUCGCGUGAAGGAAGAAGGAUCUAUGGUUCGUAAACUUCUUUUGCAGGGGAAUAAAGUGCAGGACGUGUCCUGUUUUGUAUGUACCCUGAGAAUAAGGAUCGGCUAACUCCGUGUCAGCAGCCGCGGUAAUACGGAGGAUCCGAGCGUUAUCCGGAUUUAUUGGGUUUAAAGGGUGCGUAGGUGGUUUGAUAAGUCAGCGGUGAAAGUUUGCAGCUUAACUGUAAAAAUGCCGUUGAAACUGUCGGACUUGAGUGUAAAUGAGGUAGGCGGAAUGCGUGGUGUAGCGGUGAAAUGCAUAGAUAUCACGCAGAACUCCGAUUGCGAAGGCAGCUUACUAAGCUACAACUGACACUGAAGCACGAAAGCGUGGGGAUCAAACAGGAUUAGAAACCCCGGUAGUCC
RNAcentral lists this ribosomal RNA (445 nucleotides) under uncultured bacterium. RNAcentral describes it as "partial 16S ribosomal RNA". It matches the Rfam family "Bacterial small subunit ribosomal RNA", at positions 354 to 796 of the family's 1533-position model. The record is from RNAcentral.